Molecule: ribosomal RNA, 497 nt
Filed under: uncultured bacterium
Lineage: Bacteria
Description: partial 16S ribosomal RNA
Rfam family: Bacterial small subunit ribosomal RNA
Source: RNAcentral
GAUGAACGCUGGCGGCGUGCCUAAUACAUGCAAGUCGAGCGAACAGACGAGGAGCUUGCUCCUCUGACGUUAGCGGCGGACGGGUGAGUAACACGUGGAUAACCUACCUAUAAGACUGGGAUAACUUCGGGAAACCGGAGCUAAUACCGGAUAAUCUAUUGAACCGCAUGGUUCAAUAGUGAAAGACGGUUUUGCUGUCACUUAUAGAUGGAUCCGCGCCGCAUUAGCUAGUUGGUAAGGUAACGGCUUACCAAGGCAACGAUGCGUAGCCGACCUGAGAGGGUGAUCGGCCACACUGGAACUGAGACACGGUCCAGACUCCUACGGGAGGCAGCAGUAGGGAAUCUUCCGCAAUGGGCGAAAGCUUUACGGAGCAACGCCGCGUGAGUGAUGAAGGUCUUCGGAUCGGAAAACUCUGUUAUUAGGGAAGAACAAAUGUGUAAGUAACUAUGCACGUCUUGACGGUACCUAAUCAGAAAGCCACGGCUAACUACGUG